Non-coding RNA from Coffea arabica (coffee), 1397 nucleotides. The record is from RefSeq and is a predicted model, not a curated record. Lineage: Eukaryota; Viridiplantae; Streptophyta; Magnoliopsida; Gentianales; Rubiaceae.
UUCCUUUCCCAGCUCUCACAGCUGCAUUGUCCAGAGCUAACAGUAGAGCUUCCUCAAGAAUGGUAAUUGGUGUGAUUUAUCAUGGCUGUGUCUUCCGAUGUCGUCCGAAUUCCAAGACGGGUUGGUUGUGCCCUUUUUUCCUAGGGUUUUCUCAUCUGCUUUUUUCAUUUCCAUUUUCUGAAAUUGGUUGUGCCCUUGAACCCGUUCCCCUUUUUGAGCUCCUUCCUCUCACCGCCUUCUCUGGCCAGCUUGAUUGCGAGCUUGGUUUCAUCUUCUUCGUGCGUUUUAAGCUCGGUCUCCCCGAGUUUCUUUUACUGGUGCAUUUUUCCUCUGCGUAUUUGCUGCGUAUCCUUUUUUCCUUUGAUUUUGCUUUUCUCGUUGGCUUGUGAAGGCCACCGAAUUUCUCAUUUUCUCUUAAAUGUGGUCUCAAACAACCUUUUCCAUUCCAAAUCUGGGCGGCUCCGCAGAACCCUAAUCCACAGUUAAGGAGGGAAAACGUAAGAAGAAUCAGCAGCGAUGGCGGUGCCUUUGCUUUUGAAGAAGACAGUGAAGAAAAGGGUCAAGAAGUUCAAGCAACCCCAGAGCGACCGAAAAAUCUCCGUCAAGGUUAUUUUACUGGUUUUCAUCCUAGCCUUGUGCAUUCGGCUUUGGAAUCUAUAGCAAAGGAAUGGCUACUGCUACUCCUUCGGGUGUUGGUAUUGCCUCCCACGUGAUCUCUCCCUGUCGAUCCAUCUCUCAUCUAUUGUGCUUGUUUCUCCUGAUGUUGAGGCAAACCUCCUUGAUAGUUGGUGUCGAAGCUGAGAAGCUAAUUGGUGUAAGCGCGCUUGACAUGUUUGAGGCUGCUGACGAUGAGGCUAUGUGUUGCUCUAUUCUCAUGCAUAGAUACCUGAACUUGGAGAUUUGCAUAGAUACCUGAGCUGACGAUGAGGCUAUGUGUAGCCAGACCUUUAAGUUGUACCAUCGUGUGGCUUGUCGAAUUGAACGAACCAGGCUCCUAUGCUAUUUUAAGCGUUCAUCCGAUGUGAUCAACAAAGUGACGUGCACUAAAUACGCUGUUGUUGCUUGCUACCAGUUUAGAGAGGUUGUUUUUGGAUGCUUAUUUCUUGUGCAAAUUUUGUCAGCUCGUGAACUUCUUUGAGCUUGUAGCGGCGUCGGUAUUAGUUUUGAGGCUUAUAUGCUGUUGAUACUAAUAGUAGUAUUUAGUGGUUCUGUUCUUUUUAAAAAAUUUGAUUUGGGAUGCUCUGUUAUGCUGCCAGCUCAGAGCCUUUCUUCUUGGGCUGAGUUCUUAGGCAGCAGUAGUAUUUGGAAUAGUGAUAUGUAGACUGUAGACCACAUGUUUGUUACUUUAGACAAUUCAUUCACUGGACAAUUACUAGACUUUGUUUUGUUUCUGCGUA